This is a long non-coding RNA of Stegodyphus dumicola, 465 nucleotides long. Lineage: Eukaryota; Metazoa; Arthropoda; Arachnida; Araneae; Eresidae. The record is from RefSeq and is a predicted model, not a curated record.
GUUCUUACUCAUCUGCUGGUUAGGGGACCUCACCAGAUUGUUAUUCACGUGAUGCUCCUAUAAGGCCUUAGCUAAAUUAGUUUACUGAGGACUAGGUUGUAUUAUAAAAGCACUGCUUCAAGCUGAGAUAUUCAUACCGAUUCUAUUCGUACGUCUAAGAAAUGGAAUUUUUGAAACGCAGUCUGCUUUUCCUCGCGGCUCUGGCGAUGGCAACUUUGGCUGUCAUCCAGGCUAUUCCUGACCCUGAUCCUCAACUCCGGCCUAUCGGCAGAAAAUGAAUGCUCCUGACUGUUUGGAUUUGCAGGUAUGGAAAAGGACCGAAUAUGCUUCUUCUUCAAAAAUAAAAAUGGUUCUACAGAGAUAAACGAUAACUUCUAAAAGAUUUGUAAACUGUUAUUCAAUGUCAUGUUAACCAAAAUUUAAAAUUUGUUUUCCUAUUUGACAAGUGUUUCCAAAAUAUGCAAU